UCUCCGUUGGUGAACCAGCGGAGGGAUCAUUACAGAGUUAUCUAACUCCCAAACCCAUGUGAACUUACCAUUUGUUGCCUCGGCAGAGCCUACCCGGUAACUGUUCGGAGAAGCUACCCUGUAGCUACCCUGUAACGGCUUACCCUGUAACGCACUGCCGGUGGACUUUUAAACUCUUGUUAUUUUUGAGUAAUCUGAGCGUCUUAUUGUAAUAAGUCAAAACUUUCAACAACGGAUCUCUUGGUUCUGGCAUCAAUGAAGAACGCAGC
RNAcentral lists this unclassified non-coding RNA (269 nucleotides) under uncultured fungus. RNAcentral's name for it is "sequence contains ITS1, 5.8S rRNA gene". The stretch from base 221 to 269 matches the Rfam family "5.8S ribosomal RNA", at positions 1 to 49 of the family's 154-position model. Lineage: Eukaryota; Fungi. The record is from RNAcentral.